This 452-nucleotide ribosomal RNA is filed under the name uncultured bacterium. Its description in RNAcentral is "bacterial SSU rRNA". It matches the Rfam family "Bacterial small subunit ribosomal RNA", at positions 28 to 508 of the family's 1533-position model. The record is from RNAcentral.
GAUGAAUGCUGGCGGCGUGCCUAACACAUGCAAGUCGAGCGGCAGCGCGAGAAGUUUACUUCUUGGCGGCGAGCGGCGGACGGCUGAGUAACGCGUGGGAACGUGCCCCAAAGUGAGGAAUAAGCUCCAGAAAUGGAGUCUAAUGCCGCAUAUGAUCUUCGGAUUAAAGGAUUUAUCCGCUUUGGGAGCGGCCCGCGUCGGAUUAGGUAGUUGGUGAGGUAAUGGCUCACCAAGCCGACGAUCCGUAGCUGGUCUGAGAGGAUGAUCAGCCAGACUGGAACUGAGACACGGUCCAGACUCCUACGGGAGGCAGCAGUGAGGAAUCUUCCACAAUGGGCGAAAGCCUGAUGGAGCAACGCCGCGUGCAGGAUGAAGGCCUUCGGGUCGUAAACUGCUUUUAUAAGUGAAGAAUAUGACGGUAACUUAUGAAUAAGCACCGGCUAACUACGUGC